Lolium rigidum is the source of this 230-nucleotide long non-coding RNA. RefSeq lists it as uncharacterized. The record is from RefSeq and is a predicted model, not a curated record. The transcript is spliced from 2 exons. NCBI's taxonomy places the organism in Eukaryota, Viridiplantae, Streptophyta, Magnoliopsida, Poales, Poaceae.
ACCUAGCCUUGUGCAUGGCAUCACUUUGCACUGAUCCUGAUCGAAAAUCUACUGCUUUCUAACAAGCUGCCUCAAUUGUGCACACAUACUAUCCCGACUUACAGUUUUCCUGCACAAAUUCGCAAAUGAAAAUACUCCUCUCCCUUGGUAUCUCUUAUUCAUGGGAAAUGAAGUAAUUCAAUGAAGAUUUUGAGUUUUUCUGGAUGAAUUCACAAAUGAAAUUAUUCUCA